GACGAACGCUGGCGGCGUGCCUAAUACAUGCAAGUCGAACGCUGAAGGAGGAGCUUGCUUCUCCGGAUGAGUUGCGAACGGGUGAGUAACGCGUAGGUAACCUGCCUGGUAGCGGGGGAUAACUAUUGGAAACGAUAGCUAAUACCGCAUAACAGUAGAUGUUGCAUGACAUUUGCUUAAAAGUUGCAAUUGCAUCACUACCAGAUGGACCUGCGUUGUAUUAGCUAGUUGGUGAGGUAACGGCUCACCAAGGCGACGAUACAUAGCCGACCUGAGAGGGUGAUCGGCCACACUGGGACUGAGACACGGCCCAGACUCCUACGGGAGGCAGCAGUAGGGAAUCUUCGGCAAUGGACGGAAGUCUGACCGAGCAACGCCGCGUGAGUGAAGAAGGUUUUCGGAUCGUAAAGCUCUGUUGUAAGAGAAGAACGAGUGUGAGAGUGGAAAGUUCACACUGUGACGGUAUCUUACCAGAAAGGGACGGCUAACUACGUG
This 495-nucleotide ribosomal RNA is filed under the name uncultured bacterium. RNAcentral describes it as "partial 16S ribosomal RNA". It matches the Rfam family "Bacterial small subunit ribosomal RNA", at positions 28 to 507 of the family's 1533-position model. The record is from RNAcentral.